RNAcentral lists this transfer RNA (74 nucleotides) under Bacteroidales bacterium. RNAcentral describes it as "tRNA-Tyr". It matches the Rfam family "tRNA". Rfam says of the family: Transfer RNA (tRNA) molecules are approximately 80 nucleotides in length. Their secondary structure includes four short double-helical elements and three loops (D, anti-codon, and T loops). The record is from RNAcentral. Lineage: Bacteria; Pseudomonadati; Bacteroidota; Bacteroidia; Bacteroidales.
UGGUAUGAGGCAAAUACGGUUAGUUGCGGCGGUCUGUAACACGGAGUAAGCAGGUUCGAAUCCUGCCAUACCAA